AAUGAACGCUGGCGGCGUGGAUUAGGCAUGCAAGUCGAACGCGAAAGUUCCCUUCGGGGAGCGAGUAGAGUGGCGAAAGGGUGAGUAAUGCUUGGAUGACCUGCCCUCGAGACGGGGACAACAGUUCGAAAGGACUGCUAAUACCCGAUAGUCCGGUUUAGAUGCGUCUAGAUCGGUAAAUGGUGCUUCCGCUCGAGGAGGGGUUCAAGUCCUAUCAGCUUGUUGGUGAGGUAACGGCUCACCAAGGCGAUGACGGGUAGCCGGACUGAGAGGUUGGCCGGCCACAUGGGAACUGAGACACUGUCCUGACUCCUACGGGAGGCUGCAGUCGAGAAUCUUCUGCAAUGGGCGAAAGCCUGACGGAGCGACGCCGCGUGGUGGAUGAAGGCCCUUGGGUUGUAAACACCUGUCAGAGGGGAUGAAAUCAUGGUUGGCAAUCCUUCCAUGUUGACAGAGCCUCAGAGGAAGCACGGGCUAAGUACGUGCCAG
Molecule: ribosomal RNA, 489 nt
Filed under: uncultured bacterium
Lineage: Bacteria
Description: bacterial SSU rRNA
Rfam family: Bacterial small subunit ribosomal RNA
Source: RNAcentral